RNAcentral lists this unclassified non-coding RNA (289 nucleotides) under uncultured fungus. RNAcentral describes it as "partial contains 5.8S rRNA, ITS2 and 28S rRNA". It matches the Rfam family "Eukaryotic large subunit ribosomal RNA", at positions 668 to 961 of the family's 3401-position model. The record is from RNAcentral. Lineage: Eukaryota; Fungi.
AAGGAGUCCAACAUAUAUGCAAGUAUUAGAGUGUUAAACUCUGAUGCGCAAUGAAAGUGAAUCGUGGGAGCCGCAAGGCGCACCAUGAACCCAUCUGGAAGUCUUUGAUGGACAGAAUGGAGUUUGAGCAUAUCUGUUGGGACCCGAAAGAUGGUGAACUAUGCCUGAAUAGGGUGAAGUCAGAGGAAACUCUGAUGGAGGCUCGUAGAGGUUCUGACGUGCAAAUCGAUCUUCAAAUUUGGGUAUAGGGGCGAAAGACUAAUCGAACCAUCUAGUAGCUGGUUCCCUC